This 29-nucleotide non-coding RNA is filed under the name Rattus norvegicus (Norway rat). Lineage: Eukaryota; Metazoa; Chordata; Mammalia; Rodentia; Muridae. The record is from RNAcentral.
UGAAAGGCCAUAUGAAGUUUUUGGAUAUU